GCCCCCAUUGUCUAGAGGCCCAGGACGUUUCCUUUUCACGGAAGAAGCAGGGAUUCGAAUUCCCUUGGGGGUA
RNAcentral lists this transfer RNA (73 nucleotides) under Sarcinofilum mucosum. RNAcentral describes it as "tRNA-Glu". It matches the Rfam family "tRNA". Rfam says of the family: Transfer RNA (tRNA) molecules are approximately 80 nucleotides in length. Lineage: Eukaryota; Viridiplantae; Chlorophyta; Ulvophyceae; Ulotrichales; Sarcinofilaceae. The record is from RNAcentral.